CCUACGGGCGGCAGCAGUGAGGAAUAUUGGACAAUGGGCGUAAGCCUGAACCAGCCAAGUCGCGUGAGGGAUGAAGGAUCUAUGGAUCGUAAACCUCUUUUAUAGGGGAAUAAAGUACGGGACGUGUCCCGGUUUGUAUGUACCUUAUGAAUAAGGAUCGGCUAACUCCGUGCCAGCAGCCGCGGUAAUACGGAGGGUCCGAGCGUUAUCCGGAUUUAUUGGGUUUAAAGGGUGCGUAGGCGGCUUUUUAAGUCAGCGGUGAAAGUCGGUGGCUCAACCAUAGAAUUGCCGUUGAAACUGGGAGACUAGAGUACGUUGGGGGCAGGCGGAAUGCGUGGUGUAGCGGUGAAAUGCUUAGAUAUCACGCAGAACCCCGAUGGCGAAGGCAGCCUGCCAAGCCAUGACUGACGCUGAUGCACGAAAGCGUGGGGAUCAAACAGGAUUAGAUACCCGUGUAGUC
This 460-nucleotide ribosomal RNA is filed under the name uncultured bacterium. RNAcentral's name for it is "partial 16S ribosomal RNA". It matches the Rfam family "Bacterial small subunit ribosomal RNA", at positions 338 to 795 of the family's 1533-position model. The record is from RNAcentral.